RNAcentral lists this microRNA (19 nucleotides) under Corchorus olitorius. RNAcentral's name for it is "rgl-miR51". Lineage: Eukaryota; Viridiplantae; Streptophyta; Magnoliopsida; Malvales; Malvaceae. The record is from RNAcentral.
AUCUUGAUUGAUCAGUGAU